GGGUCGUUAGCUCAGUUGGUAGAGCAGUUGACUCUUAAUCAAUUGGUCGCAGGUUCGACCCCUGCACGACCCACCA
RNAcentral lists this transfer RNA (76 nucleotides) under Pectobacterium brasiliense. RNAcentral describes it as "tRNA-Lys". It matches the Rfam family "tRNA". From Rfam's summary of the family: Transfer RNA (tRNA) molecules are approximately 80 nucleotides in length. Their secondary structure includes four short double-helical elements and three loops (D, anti-codon, and T loops). Lineage: Bacteria; Pseudomonadati; Pseudomonadota; Gammaproteobacteria; Enterobacterales; Pectobacteriaceae. The record is from RNAcentral.